RNAcentral lists this ribosomal RNA (517 nucleotides) under uncultured Glomus. RNAcentral's name for it is "SSU rRNA". It matches the Rfam family "Eukaryotic small subunit ribosomal RNA", at positions 569 to 1084 of the family's 1831-position model. The record is from RNAcentral. Lineage: Eukaryota; Fungi; Glomeromycota; Glomeromycetes; Glomerales; Glomeraceae.
AGCAGCCGCGGUAAUUCCAGCUCCAAUAGCGUAUAUUAAGGUUGUUGCAGUUAAAAAGCUCGUAGUUGAAUUUCGGGAUCAAUUUAUUGGUCGUGCUAUUGUACGUACUGGUAUUAUUGAUUCCUACCUUCUGACGAACCAUGAUGUCAUUAAUUUGGUGUCAUGGGGAAUCAGGACUGUUACUUUGAAAAAAUUAGAGUGUUUAAAGCAGGCUCACGCUUGAAUACAUUAGCAUGGAAUAACGAAAUAGGACGUUUGAUUCUAUUUUGUUGGUUUCUAGGAUCGACGUAAUGAUUAAUAGGGAUAGUUGGGGGCAUUAGUAUUCAAUUGUCAGAGGUGAAAUUCUUGGAUUUAUUGAAGACUAACUACUGCGAAAGCAUUUUGCCAAGGAUGUUUUCAUUAAUCAAGAACGAAAGUUAGGGGGUAUCGAAGACGAUCAGAUACCGUCGUAGUCUUAACCAUAAACUAUGCCGACUAGGGAUCGGAUGAUGUUAAUUUUUUAAUGACUUCAUUCGGC